RNAcentral lists this ribosomal RNA (465 nucleotides) under uncultured Klebsiella sp. RNAcentral's name for it is "bacterial SSU rRNA". It matches the Rfam family "Bacterial small subunit ribosomal RNA", at positions 338 to 795 of the family's 1533-position model. Lineage: Bacteria; Pseudomonadati; Pseudomonadota; Gammaproteobacteria; Enterobacterales; Enterobacteriaceae. The record is from RNAcentral.
CCUACGGGUGGCUGCAGUGGGGAAUAUUGCACAAUGGGCGCAAGCCUGAUGCAGCCAUGCCGCGUGUGUGAAGAAGGCCUUCGGGUUGUAAAGCACUUUCAUCGGGGAGGAAGGCGUUAAGGUUAAUAACCUUGGCGAUUGACGUUACCCGCAGAAGAAGCACCGGCUAACUCCGUGCCAGCAGCCGCGGUAAUACGGAGGGUGCAAGCGUUAAUCGGAAUUACUGGGCGUAAAGCGCACGCAGGCGGUCUGUCAAGUCGGAUGUGAAAUCCCCGGGCUCAACCUGGGAACUGCAUUCGAAACUGGCAGGCUAGAGUCUUGUAGAGGGGGGUAGAAUUCCAGGUGUAGCGGUGAAAUGCGUAGAGAUCUGGAGGAAUACCGGUGGCGAAGGCGGCCCCCUGGACAAAGACUGACGCUCAGGUGCGAAAGCGUGGGGAGCAAACAGGAUUAGAUACCCCAGUAGUC